GUAAGCGCAGAGAUGCGUUGAGCUGACCAGUACUAAUGAACCGUGAGGCGUAACCUGACAACACCGAAGGUGUU
This 74-nucleotide ribosomal RNA is filed under the name Morganella morganii. Its description in RNAcentral is "partial 23S ribosomal RNA". Lineage: Bacteria; Pseudomonadati; Pseudomonadota; Gammaproteobacteria; Enterobacterales; Morganellaceae. The record is from RNAcentral.